GAAUGCUCAGUGGCAGAGCAUCUGCUUGGCAUGCAGAGGGUCCAAGGUUCAACCCCCAGCUUCUCCA
Non-coding RNA from Podarcis lilfordi (Lilford's wall lizard), 67 nucleotides. The record is from the annotation of a GenBank genome assembly. Lineage: Eukaryota; Metazoa; Chordata; Lepidosauria; Squamata; Lacertidae.